Molecule: long non-coding RNA, 8780 nt
Organism: Spinacia oleracea (spinach)
Lineage: Eukaryota; Viridiplantae; Streptophyta; Magnoliopsida; Caryophyllales; Amaranthaceae
Exons: 5
Source: RefSeq, a predicted model, not a curated record
CACAAUAAUCUGUCAACGAACACGAACAAAGAACUCCACUUGUCGUUCCUAUACUUGGUUCACCGACACGAUCAGAUCCGUGUUGAUUAUACGUGUAAUACCCUGAAUUUUUAAAACUCGAUUAAUUAUGUUUAUUAGCGCAAAACCGUUUUAAAUCUUACUUUUUGACUUUCAAUUUAACUACUUUGACUUGGAAAUUUAAAUAUUUUAAUGGUAAGAAUAUUAUUAUUUUGAUUUCAUAAUUUUUUUUAUUAAAGGUUGUAAUUAUUUUUGAUUUAAGUUCAAUUAGAGGAGUAAAAUUCAGAAAUUUUCCUAACAUUUUGCAAUUACCAAAGUACCCUUUUUCAAUUGAGAAACCAAAAAUCAGUUUCUUUCUUCCUCCCUUCUCCUUCUCCUUCACGCCACUUUUGCCAUGGAAGUCAAAGUUUGCUUUCCAAAUGUCACCACUACUUUUCAUCUUGCCUGAGUCAUCAAUGAAGGUGGACACUUAUCAGUAAUGCAAAGCCUUAGUCACUACACUCUUGAUCUCUUCUUUACAUUUGUCAAUUCAAAAACUUGAACAUGAGCUCACUGCAUACAUCAAUGGACACCCCUUAUUGCUAUAAAUAGCCUCUUAAUUAGACUGGAAAUUCAAGCCAAAACAACCACUAACUUCAGUUUUAAUCAUUAAACUCCUCACUUUUUUUUUUUUACCCCUUUAUUUCAGUUUUGAACCACCACCACCGCCUCCAUAGACUGCCUUCGGGAGCCCCACUAGCGCCACCCUCUGCCCUCCUCCUUCAGGUCCUCCAUUGUUGUUGCAGUCGACCAACACCGAUGCCGACCACCUUUUCUCGCCUCCCUCUCGGCUUCUCUACUCCCUGCUUUCUCCCUCUCCUCCGCGCAUACACCACACUAACGCCCCUCCUUUGUGCUUAUUCCAGCACUCGCCACCAGAUUCCGGCCAUGAACCGCCGAUCAGUACCACCAAACCACCUCCAAAAUCUGUCCACUUAACCUCCGACCACCUGAACCCCGCCUCACGCAAAGACCCGGCCAACUUCAUUUUUCCUUGUUCGUGCUUCUCUUUUUCAAUUCGUGCCAUAUUGGUGCAGGACCAAUUUGGACAUUUAUUUCUAAAUUCCAAAAGUCAAACUCCACAUUCAUACAAACCAAUAAAGUAAUUUGGAAUAUUCGGUCCUUGGAGCUCAGGAAGAACGAUCCAUCGAACAGGGAAUAUAAACUACGGUUGAGGUACGAAGAAGAUCAGGGGAUGCCUUAGAGUGAGGAUGCAACCAUCAAAUUCACGAUCGAUGCUUAAUAAAGAUAAUCAUGUUUCACUAGUAAUAAUGGAUGAACAAAUUGAACUCUAAGUCAAAUUUUAAUUAUUGAGUUGGAUUUUAAUAUUUAUAAUUAAUCAAUGUUAGGAAUAUUCAUUAAAUUUUCAUUUAGAUUUCGAUGUGAAUAUUAAAAAAUUAAUCGAAGUAAAGUAUAAUCACUGUUACUCAUCAGUAGUCAGUAAAUAUAAAAAGGGUUAUGUCGCCUUGUAUUUCCCACGAGGGAGAUACGGCAGUAACGCUCUGUAAUACCCCGAAUUUUUAAAACUCGGUUAAUUAGGCUUAAUUAUUUUUAUUUAGCUUAAAAUCGUUUUAAAUCCUAAUUUCGAACUUUAUUUUAAUUAACGAAGUUUUAUUUCGCUUGAAUUUUUAAUAUUGCUACACGAUUUAUUUAUUUUCAAUUUAUAAUUUAACUUUCAUAUUUACGAGCUUAACGAACCUUUUUUUUUUAAAAUUUUAAUUAUUUUCGGAUUUCUAAAUUUAUUUUAUUCAGAAACUAAAUUAAUUAUUUAACGUUCUUAUUUUUAUUCGGAAACUAAAUUUAUUUUUCGUUAACGAUAUUUUAUAAAGAAUUAUUUUAGCUAAACAUUUCUAUUUUUAGUAGUUUCCUAAAUAGCAAUUAUAAUUCAGAAAUUUGCCUAACUAGUGAAAAUUACGAAAAUGCCCUUUUAAAGCCAAAAUGCCAUUUUUCUUCUUCUCUCUUUGCUCUCCACGUAGAAAGCAAGAAUGAAGCGGUUUCUUCAUUCCUCUCCUUCCCUCAAUUCAGUCUUAAUUCAUUGCCUUGCUCCCCAAGGAUUUCCCUUUUCACCCACUCUACUUGUUAAUAAUCAGCCAUUCUUUUCCAUUUUCCUCAACCAAAAAUCAGAAAUCAAAGAAAAACCAAACCCACUUCAACUCCUUUGUUUCCUGCAAUUUCGAACCACCAACAGCCACCACCGUGCCAACCACCAUCACCACCUACUGAACAUCAUCACCGCAGACACCAACACCACAACCGCACGCACCACCCUUGCCUCCCUUGCUCUUCGCGCAUCCCCUGCCUCCCUCCUCCCUCUUCCUUCCCCUGCUUCACUGCACUACACCCGCACCCACCAACGCAGCACCACCACCUGCAGCCACCACUACCACCAUCUCCUCACCUCGCUACAACCAUCACUCAAUCACCCGACCACCCAGAACCACCGCACACCCACCGUAGCCCCUGCCUCCCCUCCUUCGAACUCCCCUGCCUCUUCCUCUCUUUACCUCGCUGCACACCAACGCCACACACACCACCACCACUGUCCACCCUCACCACCUUAUUCAUUGACCUCCGCCGCCCACAAUUCCCGGCGAGCUGUUAUUGCGCCGCCCAAAACUGACCGCAGACACCCCAAACUCCCCUGCUUUUCCGAUCCUUUUCGCCUCCCUCUCCUUCGCGACGCGCCGCCGUGAAGCCCCCCACUACCACCUUCGCCUUCACCGGCGUAGCCCGACGGCAUAAAGCCGCCCAUCUCAGCCGCCGUCCUCUCCUCUCCUCCUCCUCCUCUCCUUCGUGCUCCCCUGUUUCGCACUCCCUCCCCUAUUUGGUCGACUUCCAGGAACCAGAAACCAAAAAUACGUUUUUGUUUUAGCAAAUCCAAAACAAAAAGGGUUGGGCCCAAUUUUAAUAUUUGGGUUUUGAUAAGCUCAUUUCCUAUUGUUAUUUUCAGAUUUAUGAAUUUACCUUCCAUGUUUUUCUAAAUAAAUUUGAUAAAGUAUUUUAAUAUAUAUUUAUAUAAUUAUUUACUAAUAAAAUUGUUUAUUAUUUUUCAGGUUUAAAUUAUCAAUUUUACUAAUAUAAUGUUACUAGUAGUAUUUAUUAAAAUCGAAUUUAUAUCAUAUUUUCAUGUAAAACGAUUUUAUGAAAUAUAUAAAUGCAUUUUCGAUUAAAAUUUCGUUUAAUAAUAAUGUUUUCAUUAAAUUUCGAAAUUUUACUUUUAUUAAAAUUCGUUAUUUAUAAACUCAUUACUUAUAAAAUUUAUUAUUUACAAAAUAUCGAUUUUAGAUUAUUUAUCGUUUUAGUGCUAACUCAAUAAAUUAAUAUUCUGAAAGAAACCGGACUUGGAGCUCAGGAAGAACGAUCCAUCAGACGGGACUACGUUGAGGUACUGAUGGGGACGAUGGACACGAGUAGUGGCGAGGAAUUUCACGUUAAUAAUAUUCACCUAGUUUAUGCUUAAAGUUUUAAUAGUUUUAAUUAAAGACUUUUAGUAAGUUAUGUACUUUUAUUUUGAUAAUAUAAAGGAUUAUUAUAUAUAUUUUGGAGUAUUUAAUGGCUUAUGAUUGAUGUUUGCCUUGUAAUUUCCAAAAAGGAAGUUACGGCAGGUAAUGCCCUGACCAAUUAGGUUAAUUCCGCUGCUAAUUAUGCUUUAAUAAUUGAAUUAGAGGUCGGGGCGUUACAGUUUGGUAUUCAGAGCAAAGGUUCUGGACCAUAAGUGCUAAACCUUACGGGUUUUGCGCAUAGUAGAAUUCAAUAGGCUUGAAGCAAAGAGUUUAGUUAAAAAGAAUAUGUUAAAAUCAUGUUAAGUUAAAAUGAAAUGAGUGUGAGCGUAGGAACGCACGGGAUAAAAGGGAUUCAUUUUUCAUGGUAUGUGUGUUUUCUUGAUUGAAUAUGUUAUGCGAAAUAUCGAUUAUCAAGGUUGCUAACGAUGCCACGAACGAAGCUCACAUCAAGCACAACAUUCACGAUGACGUCGUCCACAAUGAUGUUUCCCAUGACGAUUUCUAUGACGACCAAUCUAUAAGAGACCACAAGGAGAUGAUGGAACGAUUAGGAACUACACGUACGUUGUCAACUGAAAUGGUCAAAGAUUCUCGGAAAACGAAAGUUACUAAUACAAACGGAAAUGCGUCACUAUUUAAAGAAGUUUUCACCUUUGAAUUCACCAAUCUAUGAUCGCAAGCCGAUUCGAUGGAAUUUGAAGACUACUCGAGACUUUCGAAAUGCUCUAACGAAUGGAAUUUAAUAUCGUGCUAAAACGAAUACUUGUUAUCGAUGUCGAGGAAAAGAUCAUUUCGUUAAAAAUUGUCCUAAACCACCGACCAAUCAUGAACGAAACAACAACAAUGCUAAAUCCAUCACGCCCGUCAACAUACGUAAGAGAUUACAUGAUAAAGGACAAAAAUGACGCCAACGCUGAUAUUAUUCUGAUUUGCUCUCUCUCGCUUUAGAAUCGAACUUCCCUUGAUUUCAUGUUUAUUGUCACAUGUCAUGUUAUGAGUUUCCUACCCUAAAUAGACUAGGAAAAGUUUAAAGCAUCACUAUGUCCUUGGAGAAGUCAAGUUAAGCACGGUUCGAACUCAAAGAAUUUGUGGAUAUGAAUUGUUUUGAGGAAUUUGUAUGGUUAUGAAAUCUGUAAGGAUAGAAUAGUACCAAACGAGACCAAGGAUCACUAAUUAAGUUGAGGUUAUUUUAGAUUUAAAGUGUUCAAGUUGUGAAUGAUAUUGAUUCUAGGGUUACCUCCCGUGUUAUUCAUGGUGAAUAUAUAUUGAUGUUUAUAAGUACAAAAGUCUAUUAUCUAGAAGAUGAUUGGUAUGCCUUAUGCCUCUAUUACGGAAGCUAAGAAGUUAUACAGAAAAGUUAUGAACCCAACAUGAGUUAUGAUAAAAGACCCAUUUGAGUUGACACAUGAAUAAGAUCUUGAGAAUUUUACCAAAAGAAGAAUUAAUGUACCAGUAAGGUUAAAAGGCAGAGUAUAGAGAGAAGCAUGAGUUUGUAUCUUAUAAGUGGUGAAGCACCAAUUAAAUCAAGGUUAUUCAAGGUUUAAAGCGUGCGAGUAUAAUUGAUUUUUGAGUUACUAUUCCGCACCCUUUAUAAUGAUUGUUCUAUGGUUUUAAGUACCUAAGUGUAUUUUCAGAUAUGUUAAGGAAGCUAAGCUAGAAUUUUAAAGUUAUGUGAGAAUAUUAUGCGAAACCACACAUGAUUAAGGUUACACAUGAAGUUCUGAGAAUUAUAAAAGAAGUUAUCAAGAAUUAGUUUUUCAGUAAGGUUGAUGGUAUUCUUGGUUUACCUUUCCGCAUCAUUUAUAAGGAUUGUUUUUGUGUAGUUAUCUGAAAGGACGCUUGAUUAUCUCCAUAAAAGAAAAGCUGAACUAGAGAAUGUAAGGUUUUGCAAAAAUGUUGUGAGGAAAAGUAUGAUUUAUAGUGAGGACAUGAAAUUGAGUUUGCAUAUAAAGCAUUAAAAUAAGUUAUCGAGAAUUCUGUCUAUCAGGUUGAUGAUAUUAAUGAAUGUUAUGAAAUUCGAAGAGAGUUAUGAAUGAUUGAGGAAUGAAAUGGAGUUGAGAAUAGAAAUUGACAAAAUGACAUAUCUGUAAAACCAGGUAGUAUGAACUAAGUUUUCUAGAAGCUAGAUUGUUUAUGAUAAAGGCAUGCUUGAUGGCUUAGCACUCUCCGCAAAAUACGAGAUUUUUUCGACCUAAGGAUAAGUAACCAAGUCGUAUGUCUAACGAUAUAUUUCUAGUCACGUAAUUGAAUUCGAACCCCUGCAACGAACGUAGUUAACGAAGUCACUCAACAUAGACGAAAGACCGGAGAUCGAAAUCAAAAAUAAUCGAAUAAUGAAAGUCAACGACAAAGAUUUCUGCAGCAAAGGAGCCAAUAGCAAAUGAAAGUGAAAUGUCUCUAAUUAUUCGCCCAUUAACGAUAUGAUGUAUGAAUGACUAUGUUUUCUAUGAAUGAUUAUGUUAUGGUCAACCAUGAUCGUGUGUUAGAUCAAAUGAUUAUGAAUGUUAUGCUUAGUUUGAAUUUUCAUAUGAAUUAUGUCUCUAUGAUAUGGAUUAUGUUUGUGCUGACAUGAUUGUACUGGUAAUCUAAUUGUUAUUCAUGGAUGCCGCCUCCGAUGGAAGUUCUCCUGAGCUCAGAGUACGAGAUUGAUAUAAUAAACAACUUUUACAAAUUAUUUGAGUAUUACAAAUAAUAGAUAAAUAUUUAUUUUAAUUAUGUACACAUAUAUUUUCAGAAUUAUAAGUUGCAUUAAAAGUUACUAUUUUGGUAGGAAAUAUUUUCAAACAAGAUCUCGCAAAGUAAAAUAGGAGCCUAAUCUAUGCUAACGAGUUUGCCCCUUUUAUGUUCCUUGCUCCUCGAUCCUAUUUUAUGAAGUAAAGUGGAGAUACGAAAGACGAUGGCGGAAUGUAAUUGACCUUAAUGACGAUUAAGGAUCAAUAUAUAAAUUUUGCCCCUUUUGUACUCCUUACUCUUCGAUUCUAGGUCUCGAGUUGAAGCGAAGUCCUAAAAGAUGAUGGCGGAAUGAAAGCUAGACAUUGUCAGAAUUGAAAUUGUGAGAUCUUGGUAUUAAAAUAAAACAUCAUACUUUAAUUCAAGCGUUUUCAAUUUUCAACAAACAUUUUAUAAAUCUAAUUUUCAAGUUUCGAGGACGAAACUUUUUCUAAGGGGGUAAGAAUGUAAUACCCCGAAUUUUUAAAACUCGGUUAAUUAGGCUUAAUUAUUUUUAUUUAGCUUAAAAUCGUUUUAAAUCCUAAUUUCGAACUUUAUUUUAAUUAACGAAGUUUUAUUUCGCUUGAAUUUUUAAUAUUGCUACACGAUUUAUUUAUUUUCAAUUUAUAAUUUAACUUUCAUAUUUACGAGCUUAACGAACCUUUUUUUUUUAAAAUUUUAAUUAUUUUCGGAUUUCUAAAUUUAUUUUAUUCAGAAACUAAAUUAAUUAUUUAACGUUCUUAUUUUUAUUCGGAAACUAAAUUUAUUUUUCGUUAACGAUAUUUUAUAAAGAAUUAUUUUAGCUAAACAUUUCUAUUUUUAGUAGUUUCCUAAAUAGCAAUUAUAAUUCAGAAAUUUGCCUAACUAGUGAAAAUUACGAAAAUGCCCUUUUAAAGCCAAAAUGCCAUUUUUCUUCUUCUCUCUUUGCUCUCCACGUAGAAAGCAAGAAUGAAGCGGUUUCUUCAUUCCUCUCCUUCCCUCAAUUCAGUCUUAAUUCAUUGCCUUGCUCCCCAAGGAUUUCCCUUUUCACCCACUCUACUUGUUAAUAAUCAGCCAUUCUUUUCCAUUUUCCUCAACCAAAAAUCAGAAAUCAAAGAAAAACCAAACCCACUUCAACUCCUUUGUUUCCUGCAAUUUCGAACCACCAACAGCCACCACCGUGCCAACCACCAUCACCACCUACUGAACAUCAUCACCGCAGACACCAACACCACAACCGCACGCACCACCCUUGCCUCCCUUGCUCUUCGCGCAUCCCCUGCCUCCCUCCUCCCUCUUCCUUCCCCUGCUUCACUGCACUACACCCGCACCCACCAACGCAGCACCACCACCUGCAGCCACCACUACCACCAUCUCCUCACCUCGCUACAACCAUCACUCAAUCACCCGACCACCCAGAACCACCGCACACCCACCGUAGCCCCUGCCUCCCCUCCUUCGAACUCCCCUGCCUCUUCCUCUCUUUACCUCGCUGCACACCAACGCCACACACACCACCACCACUGUCCACCCUCACCACCUUAUUCAUUGACCUCCGCCGCCCACAAUUCCCGGCGAGCUGUUAUUGCGCCGCCCAAAACUGACCGCAGACACCCCAAACUCCCCUGCUUUUCCGAUCCUUUUCGCCUCCCUCUCCUUCGCGACGCGCCGCCGUGAAGCCCCCCACUACCACCUUCGCCUUCACCGGCGUAGCCCGACGGCAUAAAGCCGCCCAUCUCAGCCGCCGUCCUCUCCUCUCCUCCUCCUCCUCUCCUUCGUGCUCCCCUGUUUCGCACUCCCUCCCCUAUUUGGUCGACUUCCAGGAACCAGAAACCAAAAAUACGUUUUUGUUUUAGCAAAUCCAAAACAAAAAGGGUUGGGCCCAAUUUUAAUAUUUGGGUUUUGAUAAGCUCAUUUCCUAUUGUUAUUUUCAGAUUUAUGAAUUUACCUUCCAUGUUUUUCUAAAUAAAUUUGAUAAAGUAUUUUAAUAUAUAUUUAUAUAAUUAUUUACUAAUAAAAUUGUUUAUUAUUUUUCAGGUUUAAAUUAUCAAUUUUACUAAUAUAAUGUUACUAGUAGUAUUUAUUAAAAUCGAAUUUAUAUCAUAUUUUCAUGUAAAACGAUUUUAUGAAAUAUAUAAAUGCAUUUUCGAUUAAAAUUUCGUUUAAUAAUAAUGUUUUCAUUAAAUUUCGAAAUUUUACUUUUAUUAAAAUUCGUUAUUUAUAAACUCAUUACUUAUAAAAUUUAUUAUUUACAAAAUAUCGAUUUUAGAUUAUUUAUCGUUUUAGUGCUAACUCAAUAAAUUAAUAUUCUGAAAGAAACCGGACUUGGAGCUCAGGAAGAACGAUCCAUCAGACGGGACUACGUUGAGGUACUGAUGGGGACGAUGGACACGAGUAGUGGCGAGGAAUUUCACGUUAAUAAUAUUCACCUAGUUUAUGCUUAAAGUUUUAAUAGUUUUAAUUAAAGACUUUUAGUAAGUUAUGUACUUUUAUUUUGAUAAUAUAAAGGAUUAUUAUAUAUAUUUUGGAGUA